UGGGGAAUUUUGGACAAUGGGCGAAAGCCUGAUCCAGCAAUGCCGCGUGUGUGAAGAAGGCCUUCGGGUUGUAAAGCACUUUUGUCCGGAAAGAAAUCCUUGGCUCUAAUACAGUCGGGGGAUGACGGUACCGGAAGAAUAAGCACCGGCUAACUACGUGCCAGCAGCCGCGGUAAUACGUAGGGUGCAAGCGUUAACCGGAAUUACUGGGCGUAAAGCGUGCGCAGGCGGUUUGCUAAGACCGAUGUGAAAUCCCGGGCUCAACCUGGGAACUGCAUUGGUGACUGGCAGGCUAGAGUAUGGCAGAGGGGGGUAGAAUUCCACGUGUAGCAGUGAAAUGCGUAGAGAUGUGGAGGAAUACCGAUGGCGAAGGCAGCCCCUGGGCCAAUACUGACGCUCAUGCACGAAAGCGUGGGGAGCAAACAGGAUUAGAUACCCUGGUAGUCCACGCCCUAAACGAUGUCAACUAGUUGUUGGGGAUUCAUUCCUUAGUAACGUAGCUAACGCGUGAAGUUGACCGCCUGGGGAGUACGGUCGCAAGAUUAAAACUUAAAUGAAUUGACGGGGUCAUA
RNAcentral lists this ribosomal RNA (572 nucleotides) under uncultured bacterium. Its description in RNAcentral is "partial 16S ribosomal RNA". It matches the Rfam family "Bacterial small subunit ribosomal RNA", at positions 355 to 923 of the family's 1533-position model. The record is from RNAcentral.